Molecule: ribosomal RNA, 373 nt
Filed under: uncultured organism
Description: bacterial SSU rRNA
Rfam family: Bacterial small subunit ribosomal RNA
Source: RNAcentral
CGUAGGGUCCGAGCGUUGUCCGGAAUUAUUGGGCGUAAAGGGCUCGUAGGCGGUUUGUCGCGUCGGGAGUGAAAACCAAGGGCUUAACUCAUGGCUUGCUUUCGAUACGGGCAGACUAGAGGUAUGCAGGGGAGAAUGGAAUUCCUGGUGUAGCGGUGAAAUGCGCAGAUAUCAGGAGGAACACCGGUGGCGAAGGCGGUUCUCUGGGCAUUACCUGACGCUGAGGAGCGAAAGUGUGGGGAGCGAACAGGAUUAGAUACCCUGGUAGUCCACACCGUAAACGUUGGGCGCUAGGUGUGGGACCUAUUCCAUGGGUUCCGUGCCGUAGCUAACGCAUUAAGCGCCCCGCCUGGGGAGUACGGCCGCAAGGCUA